Molecule: ribosomal RNA, 330 nt
Filed under: uncultured eukaryote
Lineage: Eukaryota
Description: partial 18S ribosomal RNA
Rfam family: Eukaryotic small subunit ribosomal RNA
Source: RNAcentral
CCCUUAGAUGUUCUGGGCCGCACGCGCGCUACACUGAUGCAUUCAACGAGUCUAAAACCUGGUCUGAUAGGGCUGGGUAAUCUUUUGAAUGUGCAUCGUGAUUGGGAUAGAUGAUUGCAAUUCUUCAUCUUCAACGAGGAAUGCCUAGUAAACGCGAGUCAUCAGCUUGCAUUGAUUACGUCCCUGCCCUUUGUACACACCGCCCGUCGCUCCUACCGAUUGAAUGUUCCGAUGAAUACCAUGGACUGAGAGUAUGAAUGGGUUCGCCUAUUUCUGCUUCUCGGGAAGUGGAGUAAAUCUUAACAUUUAGAGGAAGGAGAAGUCGUAACA